Molecule: ribosomal RNA, 480 nt
Filed under: uncultured bacterium
Lineage: Bacteria
Description: bacterial SSU rRNA
Rfam family: Bacterial small subunit ribosomal RNA
Source: RNAcentral
AUUGAACGCUGGCGGUAUGCUUAACACAUGCAAGUCGAACGGUAACAGGCCUUCGGGCGCUGACGAGUGGCGGACGGUGAGUAACGCGUAGGAAUCUGCCUUAUAGUGGGGGACAACGUGGGGAAACCCACGCUAAUACCGCAUACGCCCUACGGGGGAAAGGAGGGGAUCUUCGGACCUUUCGCUAUGAGAUGAGCCUGCGUUAGAUUAGCUAGUUGGUAGGGUAAAGGCCUACCAAGGCGACGAUCUAUAGCUGGUCUGAGAGGACGAUCAGCCACACUGGGACUGAGACACGGCCCAGACUCCUACGGGAGGCAGCAGUGGGGAAUAUUGGACAAUGGGCGAAAGCCUGAUCCAGCAAUACCGCGUGUGUGAAGAAGGCCUUAGGGUUGUAAAGCACUUUCAAUUGGGAGGAAAACCUACCGGUCAAUACCCGGUAGCUUGACAUUACCUUUAGAAGAAGCACCGGCUAACUCCGUG